Molecule: transfer RNA, 88 nt
Filed under: Parafrankia sp. EAN1pec
Lineage: Bacteria; Bacillati; Actinomycetota; Actinomycetes; Frankiales; Frankiaceae
Also listed under: 1 other name
Description: Frankia sp. EAN1pec tRNA-Ser-GGA-1-1
Rfam family: tRNA
About the family: Transfer RNA (tRNA) molecules are approximately 80 nucleotides in length. Their secondary structure includes four short double-helical elements and three loops (D, anti-codon, and T loops). Further hydrogen bonds mediate the characteristic L-shaped molecular structure. tRNAs have two regions of fundamental functional importance: the anti-codon, which is responsible for specific mRNA codon recognition, and the 3' end, to which the tRNAs corresponding amino acid is attached (by aminoacyl-tRNA synthetases). tRNAs cope with the degeneracy of the genetic code in two manners: having more than one tRNA (with a specific anti-codon) for a particular amino acid; and 'wobble' base-pairing, i.e. permitting non-standard base-pairing at the 3rd anti-codon position.
Source: RNAcentral
GGAGGAUUCGCCUAGUGGCCUAGGGCGCACGCUUGGAAAGCGUGUUGGGGGCAACCCCUCGAGAGUUCGAAUCUCUCAUCCUCCGCCG